AAAGGAAAAUGACUUUACUUAAAAGUCCUAAAGAGAUGUGUCAUGUUUUUCUAGCUUAGUAACCUGUACACGUGCCCACAGCAUGGAGCUUUGAGGGCUUGGGUCCUUGAAAGGUGACUUGGAGUUCUUGUUUCUGGUUGUACUGCUCAUGAAAAUGAAGAAGGGUAAAACUUUAAAGAGCUGAGUACUUGGUGAUCAUAUUGACCAAGAGAAAGAAUUCCGCAUAGAAAGAGAGAGAACAGCACACUGGGGCAAUGAUUUUCUUUUGUUGGUUUCCCCACGAAACGCAAGAGGAUAUGGUUAAAAAAACAGUUUAUGAGAGCUAGCAGGUUUUUCUCUGCUAGUAAUCUGCUGGUCAGGAAUAUACAUAAAUUAACUGCCCUCUUCCCAUUCUGGUAGCAAAUGAAGCCAUGGACUUCUGUUUUUAAUCACUGGGAUUUUAGAGCAUUUGUAGUCCUUUCCAUGGGAUGACCCUUUCUGUACAUUUUGCAGAAGAAAAAAAGCCCAUUCAUACUUAUAUAUAAGAUGAAUUUGUUAUUAAUAAUGAUUAUUGAUAGCAGAAGGAGGGAAACUAUCCCUUUUCAAUGAAAAUUUUUGAUGAGCUCUGCAGGGUAGAAGGAGACCCAUAGUCAAAGCCACAGAAUUUGAUGAUAAAAUGCCUUGAGGGAGAUAGUGAGAGAAACUCUGUUUUGUUCCCCACAGAAAAUUGUGGCAAAAACUCAGAAAGGGCAGGAAAAAGAAUAGCGAGAGAGGAACCAAAAGGAGGUAUCGAAGUCUGUAGAAAUAACUAGAUAAUAGCCUAGUAUGGGGUUUUGAAAAUAGGGAUGUUCCAUCAUAAAUCUGAAGGUGUUUGAGGUCCAUGGACAACUUCUCUCCCUGCCUCACAUUUUAAGUAGGUUUAUUUCUGGAACUAGGAGAUGAGGCUGAGUUUUUAUAUCAGGGAGGCCGCCUAUGGGGAAGCAAGAGCCCAAAGCUAGAACAGCCUCAAGGACACUUAAAACCCCUUGGAUGCCACAGCAGUCCUGACUUUCUGCUUGUCUGGAUCUUCAGCGUGACCACAAACGGCAGGCUGGUUAUUUUCUACCUUACCAGGAAAGCAAAUCCAAGGCACGCCAAAGCAGGCGGAUGACUUCCUCUUGGGGAAACGGGUGAAAUGAUCAAAGAUGGCUCAGGAGUCUCAAGUUCCUGCUCUCAGAGCCUGAGAAGCCAGAAGCAGCCUGAGAAGACCUUACUCAGUAAUGGGGAGCUGCUGCUAUAGUCUGGAUCGCCUGGAGAUUGUUAUCAUGGAACUUCAAUCACUACGCAAACCAGCAAUGUCCUCUGGAUGCUAAGGGAGAGGAGGGGAUGACGUCUAUACUGUCCCAGCCUCGUUACACAGCGCAUCUCACUUAACCCUUAUUAUGAUGCUGGGUGGUGUUAUUAUCCCUCACGUUACACAGGAGGGAGCUGAGCUCAGAGAAGUUAAAUCGCUUGCCCAACAUUUCAGAGCUAGGAAGUGAUGGGACCAGGAUGUGACCCAGACCCGUUUGCAAAGUCUAGUCUCUCUCUACUCUGUUAUCCUCUUUCUUUUGAAGGAAUAAUCAAAAGAUUAUAUAUCCCUGGUUGCCUUCGGGGAAUAUUUAAUAAAAAAGGACUGACUGACAAACCAUUCUCUUUUGAAGUUUCCAUCAUUUCUAGUGCUAUGUCCGUGCAUUUAUCACAGAAUCUUCCACUUGUAAGGGAGGCCUUAGAGAGCCUCUAAAAGGAAGAUCUUUUGGGGCUCGGGGUGGGUGUGAGUGGGGUUUAAGCUGAAUUUUGACUGAGAGAAAAUAACCUAGGAUAAGGGAAGUGGGAAUCCACUUUAGGCAGAAGAAUUCAUACGGUGGAAGGGUGAGAAGUAUCUGUAGGAGGCAGGCAGCAUGGAGGUGGAAUCUGCAGAGCUAAAGUGGGGAGCACGGACAAAGGUGGGCCCUAUAUAGAUGUGUUUUCAGUUCCAGGCAAGCUCAAUUCUCUUCAGCUAAGCAAAUGCAUAUUCAUUAUCUGCUCUGCAUGUAUCAAGCACCAUGCUACAUGCUGGGAACCCAGAGUUCUUUUCAUUUAUAUGAAUCAAUAUAAUCUAGUCUGAGUUGGAUUUUCUGUAACAUACAGCAAAAAUACCAUAAUCAUUCAAGGAGAUAAAAAAUAAAUCACUACAGUAUAAAAUGGUGAGGGCUAUAAUAAAAAUAUAAAAAGAAGGAUAUGGGAAUUGAGAGGAGAGGCACUAACCCCAGCUCUGGGAUACAGGGAAGGAUUUCUAAAUAAAUGAUAAUUUAACUGAGCUUUGAUGGAUGAAUCGGAGUUAGGUGGGGAAGGAAUUCUGGGUAGAGGGAACAGUAUGAGAACAGGCACAGAGACAUGAACUCUACGAUGUUUGUGGGGAACUUCAGUGAGUUUGGAAUUACGAGGUGAUGAAGUACCAAGCUUGGCUGGCUGGCAGUAUGGCUGGGGAGAACUUUGGGUUUCACUCAGAAGGUGAAAAGGACAGUCAGACAGUGAAACACACAUGUCACAUGCUAUCACUAAUAUGUGAAAUCUAAAAAAAGGAUACAACGAACUUUGCAGAACAGACACUGACUCACAGACUUUGAAAAACGUAGAGUUACCAAAGGAGACAGGUUGGUGUUGGGGGUGGGGGGGAGGGAUGUGCUGGGGGUUUGGGAUGGAAAUGUUGUAAAAUUGGAUUCUGAUGAUGGUUGCAAAUUAUAAAUAUAAUAAAAUUCAUUGAGUUUAAAAAAAAAAGGUGAAAAGGGGACAAGGUUUUAGGCAGGGGAGGGAUGUGUCCAGAUUUAUAUAUGGCUAUAAAAUGGAAGAUACAGUUAAAGGAGGCAGGGAACUCCGUUGGGGGGAAUUAGCUUAUUCACAUUCUCUCAUUAUGACAUAUGGUGCUGGGUGCUCACAUACAAUGAACAAUAAUUAUGGAAAACAGACACAGUCCCUGUCCUUCGGGAGCUUACUCUUGGUUGAAAUUAUUACAGAAGUUCAGGUAAGAAGAGAUGGUAGGAGGCAGAAUGGGACAGUGUCUCUGGAGACAGUUGGAUGGGGACAUUUCACCAGUGGGAGACAUGGACUUUAUAUCCAGUAGGCACUGCGCGUUGCUUACCCUAAAUAAGGCCUAACUGCAAAUGAUUAACCAUUUUCCUACACGGAACUACUAGUCCACUUCUGAUCAUAAUACAAGGCAUCACAUGGUCUGAUUUCCACAAUGAGUGCUUUUACCUUGAUUAUUCUGCAAAAUCUGAACUUUCCAAUCUCGAAGUCUCAGCCAAUCAUCACACCUCCACCCUUUGUAUACUCAUGAUUGGUUUCGGGAUGGCCACCAGCACUGCAGUGAUUGAAUCAGAGAAAGCUCAGAGUUUUCCUCUUCUUGUAAUCUGGAUAUCAGUGGGGAAAUUUGUACCAGGAGUUGUGGCAGUCCCUCUGGAACCCUGUUCUUACUCUUGGCUAUUCUUGGAUGAACACUGGCUCCAACUCUGAAAAAAUGACAGAACUCUUAGCUCAGGAUCAGGCUGCUGGUCAACACUCACGGACUGGUGGUGGCUGCCAGAAGGGUGGUGUUGAGAAGAAUGUUAAGAUCACUCAGAUUGAUUUGUGAUGUCUGCCCUGGGCAUGGCAGGAUCUGAAGGCAAUCAUGCCUGUUUAUUUGCUAACCUGGCCUUAGCCCACUCUUUGUUUUGGUCACUAUCUGAUAAAAUAAUUAGUGAGUAGGUGACUUUUUUUUUUUUUAACUUCAGAAGAUGUACACUCUCUUCUGAAAACACAAGAGCAACAAAUGGAAGCCAAUUAAAAUAUGAUUGGUGCUAAAUGACAAAAAGCCCCAGAAAGCUUUCUUAUUAAAACACUCUUUUAACUUAAUAUAUACUUCCCUUAAAAUACCCACUAAAACAAAUCCAUUUUAAGAUAAAUACAGUUCUGAGCACCUCUUUAUUCAUGAGAAUCUGUUCAUGCUCAAGGGCCAUCCAUUGAAUGGAAUUGCUCCUAUUGUCAAAAUGUUACUUGAACUGACAAUUAUUUCAUUUUCUUAACUAAAAGGAAUAGAUAUGUAUGUAUACAUACACAGACAUAAUUUUCUACUGCUGCAGUUUCUGUUCUCAUAAAUCACUUUAGGUAUCCUAUACAAUAGUAUCUUGUAAAAGAUACUGUACUUUUUUUCCCCUUUUUACGGCUGUACUGGUGGCCUAUGGAAGUUCCCAGGCUAGGGGUUGAAUCAGCCACAUCUGCAACCUAUGCCACAGCUUGUGGCAACACAGAUCCUUAACCCACUGAGUGAGGCCAGGGAUUGAACCUGCAUCCUCACAGAUACUAUGCAGGUUCUUAACCCUCUGAGCCGCAACGGGAACUCCAGAUUUUCUAUUUUAGAAAGAAAUAUCAUUCUAAUGAUAUCAUUCUCCCUAACAAAAAACCUGUUCUGUGUAUCGUCUGUAAAACACUAGGUUCCCUUUGCUCUUUAAGCAGCAGCUUAGUCCCUUAGAAUGAUCUGAGAUGAAGUGUAAACUGUAAUUAGGAUUAUCGUGC
This 4530-nucleotide long non-coding RNA is filed under the name Sus scrofa (pig). RNAcentral describes it as "lncRNA (ENSSSCG00055020743.1)". Lineage: Eukaryota; Metazoa; Chordata; Mammalia; Artiodactyla; Suidae. The record is from RNAcentral.